RNAcentral lists this ribosomal RNA (460 nucleotides) under uncultured bacterium. Its description in RNAcentral is "partial 16S ribosomal RNA". It matches the Rfam family "Bacterial small subunit ribosomal RNA", at positions 338 to 795 of the family's 1533-position model. The record is from RNAcentral.
CCUACGGGAGGCAGCAGUGAGGAAUAUUGGUCAAUGGACGCAAGUCUGAACCAGCCAUGCCGCGUGCAGGAAGACGGCUCUAUGAGUUGUAACCUGCUUUUGUACGAGGGUAAACGCAGAUACGCGUAUCUGUCUGACAGUAUCGUACGAAUAAGGAUCGGCUAACUCCGUGCCAGCAGCCGCGGUAAUACGAAGGAUUCAAGCGUUAUCCGGAUUUAUUGGGUUUAAAGGGUGCGUAGGCGGUCUGAUAAGUUAGAGGUGAAAUCCCGAGGCUCAACUUCGGAAUUGCCUCUGAUACUGUUCGGCUAGAGUGUAGUAGAGGUAGGCGGAAUGUAUGGUGUAGCGGUGAAAUGCUUAGAGAUCAGAAAGAACACCGAUGGCGAAGGCAGCUUACCAAGCUACUUCUGACGGUGAGGCACGAAAGCGUGGGGAGCAAACAGGAUUAGAUACCCGGGUAGUC